GACGAACGCUGGCGGCGUGCUUAACACAUGCAAUUCGAACGGAAAGGCCCUGCUUUUGUGGGGUGCUCGAGUGGCUAACUGGUGAUUAACCCGUGAGUAACCUGCCCUUGACUUUGGGAUAACUUCAGGAAACUGGGGCUAAUACCGGAUAGGAGCUCCUGCUGCAUGGUGGGGGUUGGAAAGUUUCGGCGGUUGGGGAUGGACUCGCGGCUUAUCAGCUUGUUGGUGGGGUAGUGGCUUACCAAGGCUUUGACGGGUAGCCGGCCUGAGAGGGUGACCGGCCACAUUGGGACUGAGAUACGGCCCAGACUCCUACGGGAGGCAGCAGUGGGGAAUAUUGCAAAAUGGGCGGAAGCCUGAUGCAGCAACGCCGCGUGCGGGAUGACGGCCUUCGGGUUGUAAACCGCUUUCGCCUGUGACGAAGCGUGAGUGACGGUAAUGGGUAAAGAAGCACCGGCUAACUACGUG
This 468-nucleotide ribosomal RNA is filed under the name uncultured bacterium. RNAcentral describes it as "partial 16S ribosomal RNA". It matches the Rfam family "Bacterial small subunit ribosomal RNA", at positions 28 to 507 of the family's 1533-position model. The record is from RNAcentral.